Molecule: unclassified non-coding RNA, 248 nt
Filed under: plant metagenome
Description: partial contains small subunit ribosomal RNA, internal transcribed spacer 1, and 5.8S ribosomal RNA
Source: RNAcentral
UUUCCGUAGGUGAACCUGCGGAAGGAUCAUUAAUGUAACCAGACCGGUCCUUUGCUGUAAAACGCACUGGUUUGUAAUGGGAGAUAACAUACACCCUAUGUUUAUUUACUUUUGUUGCUUUGGUGGUCCGUCCUUUACGGGGUCGUCCUCGGCUGAUCGCGCCCGCCAGAGUAACCAAACUCUUUUAUUUGCGAUGUCUGAGUACUAUAUAACAGUUAAAACUUUCAACAACGGAUCUCUUGGUUCUG